CUGUAUUUUAUUAAUUUUCAAAAUUUUUGUUGUUUAUUUUCUAAUUAUAAAUACACCAUUAUAUUUGUGAGAUCGAGUAAAUAAAUUUUCAUUAUUUAUUUUCUUUAUUCUGUGGAAAAUUGAGAAAGUUAUGAUGUUUUUACGUUUUCGUUGAAACUUUUUUCUUUUAUUUUUUUGCUACCGGAAUAGUAAUCAAAUGUGGGGUUGAGGAAGAUGAAGUCUCCCACACAUCCUCUAAUUGCUAAGCACACCCCGGUGAGGCCCCCUCCAUUGGGCCUAAAGCAU
This 285-nucleotide long non-coding RNA is filed under the name Lathyrus oleraceus (garden pea). Its description in RNAcentral is "Pisum sativum (pea) long non-coding RNA (PSAT_LNC022319)". Lineage: Eukaryota; Viridiplantae; Streptophyta; Magnoliopsida; Fabales; Fabaceae. The record is from RNAcentral.